RNAcentral lists this ribosomal RNA (468 nucleotides) under uncultured bacterium. RNAcentral describes it as "partial 16S ribosomal RNA". It matches the Rfam family "Bacterial small subunit ribosomal RNA", at positions 28 to 507 of the family's 1533-position model. The record is from RNAcentral.
GAUGAACGCUGGCGGCGUGCUUAACACAUGCAAGUCGAGCGGUGAAGGCGGAGCUUGCUCUGCUGGAUCAGUGGCGAACGGGUGAGUAACACGUGAGCAAUCUGCCCCUGACUCUGGGAUAAGCGCUGGAAACGGCGUCUAAUACUGGAUACGAGCUGCGAAGGCAUCUUCAGCAGCUGGAAAGAACUUCGGUCAGGGAUGAGCUCGCGGCCUAUCAGCUUGUUGGUGAGGUAACGGCUCACCAAGGCGUCGACGGGUAGCCGGCCUGAGAGGGUGACCGGCCACACUGGGACUGAGACACGGCCCAGACUCCUACGGGAGGCAGCAGUGGGGAAUAUUGCACAAUGGGCGAAAGCCUGAUGCAGCAACGCCGCGUGAGGGACGACGGCCUUCGGGUUGUAAACCUCUUUUAGCAGGGAAGAAGCGAAAGUGACGGUACCUGCAGAAAAAGCGCCGGCUAACUACGUG